AUUGAACGCUGGCGGCAUGCCUUACACAUGCAAGUCGAACGGCAGCACGGGUGCUUGCACCUGGUGGCGAGUGGCGAACGGGUGAGUAAUAUAUCGGAACGUACCUUAUUGUGGGGGAUAACGCAGCGAAAGCUGUGCUAAUACCGCAUAAUCCCUAAGGGGGAAAGCGGGGGACCGUAAGGCCUCGCGCAAUUAGAGCGGCCGAUACCUGAUUAGCUAGUUGGGGAGGUAAAGGCUCACCAAGGCAACGAUCAGUAGCUGGUCUGAGAGGACGAUCAGCCUCACUGGGACUGAGACACGGCCCAGACUCCUACGGGAGGCAGCAGUGGGGAAUUUUGGACAAUGGGGGCAACCCUGAUCCAGCAAUGCCGCGUGAGUGAAGAAGGCCUUCGUGUUGUAAAGCUCUUUUGUCAGGGAAGAAACAGCAGCUCUAACACAGUUUGCGAAUGACGGUACCUGAAGAAUAAGCACCGGCUAACUACGUGCCAGCCGCCGCAGUAA
RNAcentral lists this ribosomal RNA (501 nucleotides) under uncultured bacterium. Its description in RNAcentral is "partial 16S ribosomal RNA". It matches the Rfam family "Bacterial small subunit ribosomal RNA", at positions 30 to 523 of the family's 1533-position model. The record is from RNAcentral.